UUUCUUCACAGUGAAGACCUGCAAAGUAUGCAAGAAAAUCACUGAGGAACAGAUCAGGGAGUCCUGACCUCAGCACUGAGCAGUGGGCCUUACUCUUCUAGGAUUGAGGUAAUAGGACAAUAGAAAAUUGAAGCAAACUUACCUACUGCUGUGGACUGAGUAGAAAUGUGUGUUGCAACUAUGAA
Non-coding RNA from Lonchura striata (white-rumped munia), 185 nucleotides. The record is from RefSeq and is a predicted model, not a curated record. Lineage: Eukaryota; Metazoa; Chordata; Aves; Passeriformes; Estrildidae.